GGAUCAUUAUCGGGAGUGCCCUCGUGGCUCACCUG
RNAcentral lists this ribosomal RNA (35 nucleotides) under ascomycete sp. CH-TcG. Its description in RNAcentral is "partial 18S ribosomal RNA". The record is from RNAcentral. Lineage: Eukaryota; Fungi; Ascomycota.